CUCCACCACCAUCCUGACUGUGUUACUGGUUUUCCUUGUGUGCAUAAGGAGCAAGACACACAGCUGCCCUUGUAUAGAUUCUCCAGCAACACUUUUCUCUUCCUCCAACACAUAUGCAAAGGGUUACCAAAGUGGAGACAACCUCUGUUACAUUGCUUUAAGGGCGAUUGAGAUCACCAGAUCCAAACAGAGGGACGACACCUGGAGUGACUGCGUGUACAUUAAUGUUAAGCUAUAGAGCUGUUUCAUUGGUGUCUCUAUAGAAUCAGACACAAUUGUGUAUCUCUGUUACAGUGAAAAAGAAAACUGAAACAAACAAAUAAAUGAAUAUUAGUUUAAUGGGGUCUCUUCACAAGCAAUGUGUCAUAUGAGCAUCAGCAAAGUCACAAGAUGUAUAAUUCUACUUUAAACUGGUCUGUGGUUUCCAAGUAAGGGUG
This is a long non-coding RNA of Monopterus albus (swamp eel), 437 nucleotides long. RefSeq lists it as uncharacterized. The transcript is spliced from 3 exons. The record is from RefSeq and is a predicted model, not a curated record. Lineage: Eukaryota; Metazoa; Chordata; Actinopteri; Synbranchiformes; Synbranchidae.